RNAcentral lists this ribosomal RNA (466 nucleotides) under uncultured bacterium. RNAcentral describes it as "bacterial SSU rRNA". It matches the Rfam family "Bacterial small subunit ribosomal RNA", at positions 338 to 795 of the family's 1533-position model. The record is from RNAcentral.
CCUACGGGCGGCUGCAGUGGGGAAUAUUGCGCAAUGGGGGAAACCCUGACGCAGCGACGCCGCGUGGGUGAUGAAGGCCUUCGGGUCGUAAAGCCCUGUCGGAGGGGAAGAAGGACUCUCGUGCAAAUAGUUCGAGGGUUUGACGGUACCCUUAGAGGAAGCACCGGCUAACUCCGUGCCAGCAGCCGCGGUAAUACGGAGGGUGCAAGCGUUGCUCGGAAUUACUGGGCGUAAAGGGCGUGUAGGCGGUUUCGUAUGUCUGGCGUGAAAGCCCCGGGCUCACCUCGGGAAGUGCGUCGGAAACUGCGAGACUAGAGUCCCGGAGAGGGAGGUGGAAUUCCAGGUGUAGCGGUGAAAUGCGUAGAUAUCUGGAAGAACACCGGUGGCGAAAGCGGCCUCCUGGACGGUGACUGACGCUGAGACGCGAAAGCGUGGGGAGCAAACAGGCUUAGAUACCCCGGUAGUC